RNAcentral lists this ribosomal RNA (440 nucleotides) under uncultured bacterium. RNAcentral describes it as "partial 16S ribosomal RNA". It matches the Rfam family "Bacterial small subunit ribosomal RNA", at positions 338 to 795 of the family's 1533-position model. The record is from RNAcentral.
CCUACGGGAGGCAGCAGUGGGGAAUAUUGCACAAUGGGGGAAACCCUGAUGCAGCGACGCCGCGUGAGGGAUGAAGUAUUUCGGUAUGUAAACCUCUAUCAGCAGGGAAGAAAAUGACGGUACCUGACUAAGAAGCCCCGGCUAACUACGUGCCACCAGCCGCGGUAAUACGUAGGGGGCAAGCGUUAUCCGGAUUUACUGGGUGUAAAGGGAGCGUAGACGGUGUAGCAAGUCUGAUGUGAAAAGCCGGGGCUCAACCCCGGGACUGGAGUGGAAACUGGUGAACUGGAGUACCGGAGAGGAAAGUGGAAUUCCUAGUGUAGCGGUGAAAUGCGUAGAUAUUAGGAGGAACACCAGUGGCGAAGGCGGCUUGCUGGACUGUAACUGACGUUGAGGCUCGAAAGCGUGGGGAGCAAACAGGAUUAGAUACCCGAGUAGUC